GCCAUCGCCGAUAUUGACUUACUGUUAGCAUGUGGUAUUCUUUAACUGACUUAAUACCUGUCAGCGAUGCUACUGCUUUGGGUACUUUCAGGACCCGUCUUGAAACACGGACCAAGGAGUCUAACAUGUACGCAAGUCAUUGGGACUUAAAAAUAAACCUAAAGGCGUAAUGAAAGUGAAGAUUGUUGUAUGACAAUUCAGGGAAGAUGGGUUACGUUUCGAUGUAAUUCCGCAUUCCCGGGGCAUCUUAUUCUCAUU
RNAcentral lists this ribosomal RNA (258 nucleotides) under Phanerotoma sp. 3 NM-2007. RNAcentral describes it as "partial 28S ribosomal RNA". It matches the Rfam family "Eukaryotic large subunit ribosomal RNA", at positions 554 to 781 of the family's 3401-position model. The record is from RNAcentral. Lineage: Eukaryota; Metazoa; Arthropoda; Insecta; Hymenoptera; Braconidae.